This 252-nucleotide ribosomal RNA is filed under the name uncultured bacterium. RNAcentral describes it as "partial 16S ribosomal RNA". It matches the Rfam family "Bacterial small subunit ribosomal RNA", at positions 524 to 776 of the family's 1533-position model. The record is from RNAcentral.
UACGUAGGUCCCGAGCGUUGUCCGGAUUUAUUGGGCGUAUAGCGAGCGCAGGUGGUUUAUUAAGUCUGGUGUAAAAGGCAGUGGCUCAACCAUUGUAUGCAUUGGAAACUGGUAGACUUGAGUGCAGGAGAGGAGAGUGGAAUUCCAUGUGUAGCGGUGAAAUGCGUAGAUAUAUGGAGGAACACCGGUGGCGAAAGCGGCUCUCUGGCCUGUAACUGACACUGAGACUCGAAAGCGUGGGGAGCAAACAGG